GAUGAACGCUGGCGGCGUACCUAAUACAUGCAAGUCGAGCGAACGGACGAGAAGCUUGCUUCUCUGAUGUUAGCGGCGGACGGGUGAGUAACACGUGGAUAACCUACCUAUAAGACUGGGAUAACUUCGGGAAACCGGAGCUAAUACCGGAUGAUAUUUUGAACCGCAUGGUUCAAAAGUGAAAGACGGUCUUGCUGUCACUUAUAGAUGGAUCCGCGCCGCAUUAGCUAGUUGGUAAGGUAACGGCUUACCAAGGCAACGAUGCAUAGCCGACCUGAGAGGGUGAUCGGCCACACUGGAACUGAGACACGGUCCAGACUCCUACGGGAGGCAGCAGUAGGGAAUCUUCCGCAAUGGGCGAAAGCCUGACGGAGCAACGCCGCGUGAGUGAUGAAGGUCUUCGGAUCGUAAAACUCUGUUAUUAGGGAAGAACAUAUGUGUAAGUAACUGUGCACAUCUUGACGGUACCUAAUCAGAAAGCCACGGCUAACUACGUGCCAGCAGCCGCGGUAAUACGUANGUGGGCAGCGUUAUCCGGAAAUAUUGGGCGUAAAGCGCGCGUAGCGGUUUUUUAGUCUGAUGUGAAAGCCCACAGCUCAACCGUGGAGGGUCAUUGGAAACUGGAAAACUUGAGUGCAGAAGAGGAAAGUGGAAUUCCAUGUGUAGCGGUGAAAUGCGCAGAGAUAUGGAGGAACACCAGUGGCGAAGGCGACUUUCUGGUCUGUAACUGACGCUGAUGUGCGAAAGCGUGGGGAUCAAACAGGAUUAGAUACCCUGGUAGUCCACGCCGUAAACGAUGAGUGCUAAGUGUUAGGGGGUUUCCGCCCCUUAGUGCUGCAGCUAACGCAUUAAGCACUCCGCCUGGGGAGUACGACCGCAAGGUUGAAACUCAAAGGAAUUGACGGGGACCCGCACAAGCGGUGGAGCAUGUGGUUUAAUUCGAAGCAACGCGAAGAACCUUACCAAAUCUUGACAUCCUUUGACAACUCUAGAGAUAGAGCCUUCCCCUUCGGGGGACAAAGUGACAGGUGGUGCAUGGUUGUCGUCAGCUCGUGUCGUGAGAUGUUGGGUUAAGUCCCGCAACGAGCGCAACCCUUAAGCUUAGUUGCCAUCAUUAAGUUGGGCACUCUAAGUUGACUGCCGGUGACAAACCGGAGGAAGGUGGGGAUGACGUCAAAUCAUCAUGCCCCUUAUGAUUUGGGCUACACACGUGCUACAAUGGACAAUACAAAGGGCAGCGAAACCGCGAGGUCAAGCAAAUCCCAUAAAGUUGUUCUCAGUUCGGAUUGUAGUCUGCAACUCGACUACAUGAAGCUGGAAUCGCUAGUAAUCGUAGAUCAGCAUGCUACGGUGAAUACGUUCCCGGGUCU
Molecule: ribosomal RNA, 1370 nt
Filed under: uncultured bacterium
Lineage: Bacteria
Description: bacterial SSU rRNA
Rfam family: Bacterial small subunit ribosomal RNA
Source: RNAcentral